This is a non-coding RNA of Schizophyllum amplum, 91 nucleotides long. The record is from the annotation of a GenBank genome assembly. NCBI's taxonomy places the organism in Eukaryota, Fungi, Basidiomycota, Agaricomycetes, Agaricales, Schizophyllaceae.
GGCAAGAUGGCCGAGUGGUCUAAGGCGCUACGUUUAGGAUUCCAUCUUACCGUAGUCCGAAAGGGCGCGAGUUCGAACCUCGCUCUUGUCA